AGCGAACGCUGGCGGCAGGCCUAACACAUGCAAGUCGAACGGGCACCUUCGGGUGUCAGUGGCAGACGGGUGAGUAACACGUGGGAACGUACCCUUCGGUUCGGAACAGCCCGGGGAAACUCGGGCUAAUACCGGAUACGUCCGUAAGGAGAAAGAUUUAUCGCCGAAGGAUCGGCCCGCGUCUGAUUAGUUAGUUGGUGGGGUAAUGGCCCACCAAGGCGACGAUCAGUAGCUGGUCUGAGAGGAUGAUCAGCCACACUGGGACUGAGACACGGCCCAGACUCCUACGGGAGGCAGCAGUGGGGAAUAUUGGACAAUGGGCGCAAGCCUGAUCCAGCCAUGCCGCGUGAGUGAUGAAGGCCCUAGGGUUGUAAAGCUCUUUCGGCGGGAA
Molecule: ribosomal RNA, 391 nt
Filed under: uncultured bacterium
Lineage: Bacteria
Description: bacterial SSU rRNA
Rfam family: Bacterial small subunit ribosomal RNA
Source: RNAcentral